This 305-nucleotide ribosomal RNA is filed under the name uncultured bacterium. RNAcentral describes it as "bacterial SSU rRNA". It matches the Rfam family "Bacterial small subunit ribosomal RNA", at positions 337 to 640 of the family's 1533-position model. The record is from RNAcentral.
UCCUACGGGGCGCAGCAAUGAGGAAUAUUGGUCAAUGGGCGGGAGCCUGAACCAGCCAAGCCGCGUGAAGGAAGAAGGCGCCAGGCGUCGUAAACUUGUUUUGUCGGGGAACAAAGGGCGCCACGCGUGGCGUUGUGAGUGUACCCGAAGAAAAAGCAUCGGCUAACUCCGUGCCAGCAGCCGCGGUAAUACGGAGGAUGCGAGCGUUAUCCGGAUUUAUUGGGUUUAAAGGGUGCGUAGGCGGUCCGGAAAGUCAGCGGUAAAAGCCCGUGGCUCAACCCCGGCGCGCCGUUGACACUGUCUGA